RNAcentral lists this ribosomal RNA (447 nucleotides) under uncultured bacterium. RNAcentral's name for it is "partial 16S ribosomal RNA". It matches the Rfam family "Bacterial small subunit ribosomal RNA", at positions 329 to 793 of the family's 1533-position model. The record is from RNAcentral.
GUCCAGACUCCUACGGGAGGCAGCAGUGGGGGAUAUUGCACAAUGGGGGGAACCCUGAUGCAGCGACGCCGCGUGGGUGAAGAAGCGCCUCGGCGCGUAAAGCCCUGUCAGCAGGGAAGAAAAUGACGGUACCUGAAGAAGAGGCCCCGGCUAACUACGUGCCAGCAGCCGCGGUAAUACGUAGGGGGCAAGCGUUAUCCGGAUUUACUGGGUGUAAAGGGGGCGCAGACGGCGAUGCAAGCCAGGAGUGAAAGCCCGGGGCCCAACCCCGGGACUGCAUUGGAAACUGGCAGGCUGGAGUGUCGGAGAGGCAGGCGGAAUUCCUAGUGUAGCGGUGAAACGCGUAGAUAUUAGGAGGAACACCAGUGGCGAAGGCGGCCUGCUGGACGAUGACUGACGCUGAGGCUCGAAAGCGUGGGGAGCAAACAGGAUUAGAUACCCCUGUAU